RNAcentral lists this unclassified non-coding RNA (197 nucleotides) under soil metagenome. RNAcentral's name for it is "partial contains 5.8S ribosomal RNA, internal transcribed spacer 2, and large subunit ribosomal RNA". The record is from RNAcentral.
AACGGUCUAUACCUGCGGUACCUGCGGAGGGAUCAUCAUUGAAUUUUAUAACAACUCAGGAUUGGGUGUUUUCACCUUUCCUGACAACAAACCAAUUUACAUGACUAGGAAAACAGUGAUUUGGAGAAAAGUUCUUGUCUGAAAAGUAGCUUGAUUUGGAGUUAGCAAAGCAAUACAACUUUUAGCAAUGGAUCUCU